UGUGGCAAACUCCAAAAUCUUUUUUCUUUUUUCGCACAAGUCAAAAGAACCCCGACCCAAGGUCUUUUUCCAUUUCCUAAAAAGAUUUAAGAAACCAAAAAUCCAUCCCCUAAAUCUUAAGGCAUGAGCCCGAGGAAAGAUCCGCGCUCACGAGCAAAGACGACCUCUACUCACCUUAGGGUCUGGGGGCGGAUCCGGACUUCUAAAAAACUAUUAAGGAAAAAGGAAAAAGACUUAGGCCCGGGGACUCCGGCUAGCGCAGACUCUAAGUAGCUCACCCGACCUCGCGCUGCCGAGGUCGGGUCGGCAUAGGGAAAAAAGAGAACAAGACACUCAAAGCUUAAAAGGAACAAUCAUAUAAAAAUUCAUACUUAGCAU
Molecule: long non-coding RNA, 378 nt
Filed under: Sorghum bicolor (sorghum)
Lineage: Eukaryota; Viridiplantae; Streptophyta; Magnoliopsida; Poales; Poaceae
Description: long non-coding RNA (SBIC_LNC015859)
Source: RNAcentral